GUGAAAUACAAAUCGGACUAGGAUAUAGCUGGUUUUCUGCGAAAUCUAUUUAGGUAGAUAGCUUAAUGGUAAUGUUUAUUAGUGGGUAUAGCACUGAAUAUCUAAUUUCAUUUGAAGGGAGUAUGAAAGUACUUACUUUGGAUAUUUAAUCUCAGAAUAACUAAUAGAUGAAAAGUAUUAAGUUGUCAGACUUGUUGCGAUAAGGUGAUAAGUCAAGAGGGAAACAGCCCAGAAUAAUUUAUAAAGUUCCAAAAUUGUUAUUGAA
RNAcentral lists this ribosomal RNA (265 nucleotides) under Pneumocystis sp. RNAcentral describes it as "partial large subunit ribosomal RNA". It matches the Rfam family "Bacterial large subunit ribosomal RNA", at positions 821 to 1063 of the family's 2925-position model. The record is from RNAcentral. Lineage: Eukaryota; Fungi; Ascomycota; Pneumocystomycetes; Pneumocystales; Pneumocystaceae.